UCGGCAAAACCUCUCAGCUCAAGCUGAGAAGA
This 32-nucleotide non-coding RNA is filed under the name Homo sapiens (human). Lineage: Eukaryota; Metazoa; Chordata; Mammalia; Primates; Hominidae. The record is from RNAcentral.